This 153-nucleotide unclassified non-coding RNA is filed under the name fungal sp. Its description in RNAcentral is "partial contains small subunit ribosomal RNA and internal#transcribed spacer 1". The record is from RNAcentral. Lineage: Eukaryota; Fungi.
UCCUAGCCUUGAGCACUACCAUGGAAGGGGAUACCACGAACUUUUAUAUCUACCGCAAACUGGAUAAACUGGGAGUCAAACUGAGUGUAAUCGCGCGCGGUAUAUCCGUUGGCGACGAACUGGAAUACGCCGAUGAGGUGACUUUGGGACGCG